CGCGUACCCUGUACGUGAUCCUCAGACACGCUCGAGCCGCGGACAGAAAGAGAUGGUUGAUCUAUGGUGGAAAAGCUAACGCGACAGUAGCAGCGUUGUGUGGAGAAAUUCGGAGAUUUGAUAUUGAGAGAUUGAAGGCUGUGAACCCUCGUGAGCUGGAAUUCCCCUUGCUGCGCGUGGUGCUUAGCAUGGUCGGGGGUUUUUUGGAUCGGAUUUGGAAAUCUUGAGAAGAACCAAGGAUCAACUUCCAGCACUUGAUGAGUCUUCUGAUCUGGCCUAUCCUCCUUUCUACUGUAGUACUUUGAUUAAAGACUUCUCCUCUAGAUGUGGCUUUUCUGCUUCAUCUCCAUCAUCCAGCCAUUCGAGUUUCAAGUGCUGUUCAGGUUCCACCAGAAUGAUGAGAUGUUUGUGACACCGGGAGGUUAAAGGUUCAAUACUUUCCGUCUCUUUCUGUGGAUAACAACGACGUCGGCUGUAAAGUGAUUUUAUCUGAUAUGACAGCAGCUGUCUGAGUUUAUCUUCUGUCACUCUGGUCUCCACCAGACUGGAACUCUUCCUGCACAUUUCAGCUUUUUAAACUCUUUAAGAUAGAUUUUCACCACUUGGAUAGAUGAACAGCUGCAAGAUAAAAAGCUAAAGUUAAUGCUUUAGUUAAACACAUUAUGAAGAAGGAUUGAGUUCACAUAAUCUUAUUAAUAAUUCCAUCAAACUAACAUUAUUUUUGAUUUGUGUGUUUCAUGUUGAGAAAAUCCUGAAAAUAAAUUAGAUUGCUAAUAAAAAAAUUACAGGAUAAAAAACAGUUUGAAAGCAUGUUUGUUUAUUCAUUCAUUCAUUUUUUAAUUUUUUUUUUUACAGCACAAAAGAACAUAAUGACUUUAAUGUUAUCAGUAUAAUUGAACCAGGUUCAGGCUCUUUUUUUAUGUGUGUGUAACAUUCCUCUGACUCCUCAAACUGAAACUCUUUUCCUUUUCCUCCUUAUUCUAAUCACAUGUUGAGUUCAAACUUCUCCUCCUCUGACGUUGAGACUGAAUCCAAACAUCACAUUCCAGGAUGUCAUGAAAUAAAUGGAAUAAAGCCUCCGACCUCCAGGAGCUCUGAGAGGCGUUCAGGGUUUGGAGAUGUAAAGUUUCCUGCAGACAGAAAGGAUCUGUGCAGCUCUGACACAAAAAAUAACCUCAACGCUCCGAUCACGAGACGUCCCAUGACAGACGACGUUGAAGAGUCAUACUCAACAUGAGGCAGCAGCAUCAGAUCCAGACUCAACAGAGACUCUGAGUUUAUUAAACGUCUGAACAGCUUCACUGAUAAACGCUGCAGGAAGUCCUUCAGUCGUCCUGCUGUCAUGAGAACGCAGAUUUUCCCACAUUAUCAGAGAACUUCAGGAUCCCGACUGUGGGAAGAAAAAGUCACGUCUAUUUCUGCG
Molecule: long non-coding RNA, 1423 nt
Organism: Amphiprion ocellaris (clown anemonefish)
Lineage: Eukaryota; Metazoa; Chordata; Actinopteri; Pomacentridae
Exons: 7
Source: RefSeq, a predicted model, not a curated record